GCAGUCGAACGGUAACAGGAAGAUGCUUGCUGCUUUGCUGACGAGUGGCGGACGGGUGAGUAAUGUCUGGGAAACUGCCUGAUGGAGGGGGAUAACUACUGGAAACGGUAGCUAAUACCGCAUAACGUCACAAGACCAAAGAGGGGGACCUUCGGGCCUCUUGCCAUCGGAUGUGCCCAAAUGGGAUUAGCUUGUAGGUGGGGUAACGGCUCACCUAGGCG
Molecule: ribosomal RNA, 221 nt
Filed under: uncultured bacterium
Lineage: Bacteria
Description: partial 16S ribosomal RNA
Rfam family: Bacterial small subunit ribosomal RNA
Source: RNAcentral